GGAGAGGUGGCCGAGCGGUCGAAGGCGCACGCCUGGAACGCGUGUAUGCGAGAAAUCGUAUCGAGGGCUCGAAUCCUCUCUCCGCCA
This 87-nucleotide transfer RNA is filed under the name Alphaproteobacteria bacterium. Its description in RNAcentral is "tRNA-Ser". It matches the Rfam family "tRNA". From Rfam's summary of the family: Transfer RNA (tRNA) molecules are approximately 80 nucleotides in length. Lineage: Bacteria; Pseudomonadati; Pseudomonadota; Alphaproteobacteria. The record is from RNAcentral.